Molecule: long non-coding RNA, 1065 nt
Organism: Cercocebus atys (sooty mangabey)
Lineage: Eukaryota; Metazoa; Chordata; Mammalia; Primates; Cercopithecidae
Exons: 3
Source: RefSeq, a predicted model, not a curated record
UGCUAUUACUCCCUUUAGAGAUGGAGGAACGGGGGAGACCAGCCAAGGAAUGUGGGUACCCUAUAGAGGCUGGGAACAGCUUUCAGCCGACUGUUGUUAUGGAAAUGGAAGUCUUAGUUCUACAACCAUAAGGAAGUGAAUUCCACCAACAACCUGUAUGAGCAAGGAGAAAUCUGUCCAGCCUCCAGAAAAGAAUACAGCCCUUCCAAUACCUUUACUGUAUCCUGGUGACACCGGCAUCAGACUUCGGACCUGCAAAACUGAAGAAGAAAGCACAUCUCACCUUCAGUGGUCACCUUUAUUUUGUUACUUAAACGUAAUAAAAUAAAAAGGUUUUAAAACAGCUUCAAGGGAAAGCUUGGAAGAGAGCUCAAAGAGAUUGUAAUCAAUAAGCAUUCAAAUUACUCCAUGACUUCAAUGUUUGAAACAUUUAAAGGCGAAAACAAUGUGAUAUUAGUCCACCAGCAAAUGAACAGAUAAUGAAGAGUCGAUGCACCCUGCCACACGCUCUCACCUCUCUCCAGGUAAUUCUCACUUUGCAAAGAUGCUGGAUCACUGAGAUAUUAAAUAUUUGAAGAAAUAAAAGGACAAAACUAAGCAAAAACAAACAAAUAAAACGCUCCACAUGGAACACGAGGUCAAUUCAGGAAAUGUGUUUGUCUCAGAGCACCAGUACGAUUUCCUCUCAUGUUGAAGUUGUUUUUUUCACUCUGAUUUAUGCUUCUCUUCAUAAUUGAUUUUUUAAAAAUAGAUUCAUUCUCAGCAUUUAAAAUGGUCUGACUUAAAACUCAAAGAAACUUAUCCUUUAAGUUGUUUUGCGCUUGUAACUACUGGAAAGCACGUAUCUUUCUGUCAUUUUUUGAUUAGUUUGCAUACUUUGAUGGUGUCUUUUAGAAAUAAUAACUUGUUAAGAGUGUAAUAGUUCACUUAGUGAAUAGUCUUAACUGUGUAAUACAUUCACAGUUAAAUCCAAUAGUUUAAUUGAAAUAGGACCUAUUUGGAAUAGGAACAAUGAUCACAGACACAUGGAAAAUAUUUCAUGGGGCAGUAAAAUACAGAUAUGAA